UACGGCCUACGGGACGCAGCAGUGGGGAAUAUUGGGCAAUGGACGCAAGUCUGACCCAGCAACGCCGCGUGAAGGAAGAAGGCUUUCGGGUUGGAAACUUCUUUUAAGGGGGAAGAGCAGCAGACGGUACCCCUUGAAUAAGCCACGGCUAACUACGUGCCAGCAGCCGCGGCAAUCCGUAGGUGGCAAGCGUUGUCCGGAUUUACUGGGUGUAAUGGGCGUGCAGCCGGAGAGACAAGUCAGAUGUGAAAUCCACGGGCUCAA
Molecule: ribosomal RNA, 264 nt
Filed under: uncultured bacterium
Lineage: Bacteria
Description: partial 16S ribosomal RNA
Rfam family: Bacterial small subunit ribosomal RNA
Source: RNAcentral